Molecule: ribosomal RNA, 472 nt
Filed under: uncultured bacterium
Lineage: Bacteria
Description: partial 16S ribosomal RNA
Rfam family: Bacterial small subunit ribosomal RNA
Source: RNAcentral
GACGAACGCUGGCGGCGUGCUUAACACAUGCAAGUCGAACGCUGAAGCUUGGUGCUUGCACUGGGUGGAUGAGUGGCGAACGGGUGAGUAAUACGUGAGUAACCUGCCCUUGACUCUGGGAUAAGCCUGGGAAACUGGGUCUAAUACUGGAUACGACAUGUCACCGCAUGGUGGUGUGUGGAAAGGGUUUUACUGGUUUUGGAUGGGCUCACGGCCUAUCAGCUUGUUGGUGGGGUAAUGGCUCACCAAGGCGACGACGGGUAGCCGGCCUGAGAGGGUGACCGGCCACACUGGGACUGAGACACGGCCCAGACUCCUACGGGAGGCAGCACUGGGGAAUAUUGCACAAUGGGCGAAAGCCUGAUGCAGCGACGCCGCGUGAGGGAUGACGGCCUUCGGGUUGUAAACCUCUUUCAGCACGGAAGAAGCGAAAGUGACGGUACGUGCAGAAGAAGCGCCGGCUAACUACGUG